RNAcentral lists this ribosomal RNA (253 nucleotides) under uncultured bacterium. RNAcentral's name for it is "partial 16S ribosomal RNA". It matches the Rfam family "Bacterial small subunit ribosomal RNA", at positions 524 to 776 of the family's 1533-position model. The record is from RNAcentral.
UACGUAGGGGGCUAGCGUUGUCCGGAAUCAUUGGGCGUAAAGCGCGCGUAGGUGGCCUCGUAAGUCCGCUGUGAAAGUCAAAGGCUCAACCUUUGAAAGCCGGUGGAUACUGUGAGGCUAGAGUACGGAAGAGGCGAGUGGAAUUCCUGGUGUAGCGGUGGAAUGCGCAGAUAUCAGGAGGAACACCAAUAGCGAAGGCAGCUCGCUGGGACGUUACUGACACUGAGGCGCGAAAGCGUGGGGAGCGAACAGG